AAAAUUUGCCAUCUCAAAUGUUGUAGAUGUAGUUCAUAUGAGCAUGAAUAUUGGAGCUAAAAUUUGGUGCCAAGUUUUUGGGGAUUUUCGGCCAAAUCCAAAGGGUGAUUUUUUGGGUUCUUGUUUGACUUGUUAAAAGUGUUUUAAGGUGACUUUUGGAACCCCUAAGUACCCUAGGUUGUUAACCCCUUUUUGAGAAGUGAAAAUUUGGGUUUUAAUGAGUG
RNAcentral lists this long non-coding RNA (224 nucleotides) under Malus domestica (apple). RNAcentral's name for it is "long non-coding RNA (MDOM_LNC001952)". The record is from RNAcentral. Lineage: Eukaryota; Viridiplantae; Streptophyta; Magnoliopsida; Rosales; Rosaceae.